GGUAAUGCCGGAUGCUCCGACUCCUCGCAUGGGGUGUCGGGAAAGAUUUCAUCGGUAUGGGAUGGGGUCGCGUCCUAUCAGGUAGUCGGCGGGGUAACGGCCCACCGAGCCUACGACGGGUAGCCGGCCUGAGAGGGCGACCGGCCACAUUGGGACUGAGAUACGGCCCAGACUCCUACGGGAGGCAGCAGUGGGGAAUAUUGCACAAUGGGCGCAAGCCUGAUGCAGCGACGCCGCGUGCGGGAUGACGGCCUUCGGGUUGUAAACCGCUUUUGAUCGGGAGCAAGCCUUCGGGUGAGUGUACCUUUCGAAUAAGCACCGGCUAACUACGUGCCAGCAGCCGCGGUAAUACGUAGGGUGCAAGCGUUAUCCGGAAUUAUUGGGCGUAAAGGGCUCGUAGGCGGUUCGUCGCGUCCGGUGUGAAAGUCCAUCGCUUAACGGUGGAUCUGCGCCGGGUACGGGCGGGCUGGAGUGCGGUAGGGGAGACUGGAAUUCCCGGUGUAACGGUGGAAUGUGUAGAUAUCGGAAAAAAAACACCA
Molecule: ribosomal RNA, 539 nt
Filed under: Bifidobacterium pseudocatenulatum
Lineage: Bacteria; Bacillati; Actinomycetota; Actinomycetes; Bifidobacteriales; Bifidobacteriaceae
Description: bacterial SSU rRNA
Rfam family: Bacterial small subunit ribosomal RNA
Source: RNAcentral